Molecule: RNA transcript, 313 nt
Organism: Carlito syrichta (Philippine tarsier)
Lineage: Eukaryota; Metazoa; Chordata; Mammalia; Primates; Tarsiidae
Gene name: small nuclear ribonucleoprotein E pseudogene
Exons: 1
Source: RefSeq, a predicted model, not a curated record
CCAUGGUUUAUCGUGGCCAGGGCCAGAAAGUGCAGAAGGUGAUGGUACAGCCCAUCAACCUCAUCUUCAGAUACUUGGGAAACACAUCACGGAUUCAGGUGUGGCUUUAUGAGCAAGUGAAUAUGCAAAUAGAGGGCUGUAUCAUUGGCUUUGAUGAGUAUAUGAACCUUGUAUUAGAUGAUGCAGAAGAGAUUCAUUCUAAAACAAAGUCAAGAAAACAAGUGGGUCGGAUCAUGCUGAAAGGAGAUAAUAUUACCCUGCUGCAACUAGAAAUGAUCAAUGAAGUAAGAAAUUGUUGAGAGAACAAUAUCGU